GGGUUGUGAGGUUAAGCGACUAAGCGUACACGGUGGAUGCCCUGGCAGUCAGAGGCGAUGAAGGACGUGCUAAUCUGCGAUAAGCGUCGGUAAGGUGAUAUGAACCGUUAUAACCGGCGAUUUCCGAAUGGGGAAACCCAGUGUGUUUCGACACACUAUCAUUAACUGAAUCCAUAGGUUAAUGAGGCGAACCGGGGGAACUGAAACAUCUAAGUACCCCGAGGAAAAGAAAUCAACCGAGAUUCCCCCAGUAGCGGCGAGCGAACGGGGAGCAGCCCAGAGCCUGAAUCAGUGUGUGUGUUAGUGGAAGCGUCUGGAAAGGCGCGCGAUACAGGGUGACAGCCCCGUACACAAAAAUGCACAUACUGUGAGCUCGAUGAGUAGGGCGGGACACGUGGUAUCCUGUCUGAAUAUGGGGGGACCAUCCUCCAAGGCUAAAUACUCCUGACUGACCGAUAGUGAACCAGUACCGUGAGGGAAAGGCGAAAAGAACCCCGGCGAGGGGAGUGAAAAAGAACCUGAAACCGUGUACGUACAAGCAGUGGGAGCCUCUUUAUGGGGUGACUGCGUACCUUUUGUAUAAUGGGUCAGCGACUUAUAUUCUGUAGCAAGGUUAACCGAAUAGGGGAGCCGAAGGGAAACCGAGUCUUAACUGGGCGUUAAGUUGCAGGGUAUAGACCCGAAACCCGGUGAUCUAGCCAUGGGCAGGUUGAAGGUUGGGUAACACUAACUGGAGGACCGAACCGACUAAUGUUGAAAAAUUAGCGGAUGACUUGUGGCUGGGGGUGAAAGGCCAAUCAAACCGGGAGAUAGCUGGUUCUCCCCGAAAGCUAUUUAGGUAGCGCCUCGUGAAUUCAUCUCCGGGGGUAGAGCACUGUUUCGGCAAGGGGGUCAUCCCGACUUACCAACCCGAUGCAAACUGCGAAUACCGGAGAAUGUUAUCACGGGAGACACACGGCGGGUGCUAACGUCCGUCGUGAAGAGGGAAACAACCCAGACCGCCAGCUAAGGUCCCAAAGUCAUGGUUAAGUGGGAAACGAUGUGGGAAGGCCCAGACAGCCAGGAUGUUGGCUUAGAAGCAGCCAUCAUUUAAAGAAAGCGUAAUAGCUCACUGGUCGAGUCGGCCUGCGCGGAAGAUGUAACGGGGCUAAACCAUGCACCGAAGCUGCGGCAGCGACACUAUGUGUUGUUGGGUAGGGGAGCGUUCUGUAAGCCUGUGAAGGUGUACUGUGAGGUAUGCUGGAGGUAUCAGAAGUGCGAAUGCUGACAUAAGUAACGAUAAAGCGGGUGAAAAGCCCGCUCGCCGGAAGACCAAGGGUUCCUGUCCAACGUUAAUCGGGGCAGGGUGAGUCGACCCCUAAGGCGAGGCCGAAAGGCGUAGUCGAUGGGAAACAGGUUAAUAUUCCUGUACUUGGUGUUACUGCGAAGGGGGGACGGAGAAGGCUAUGUUGGCCGGGCGACGGUUGUCCCGGUUUAAGCGUGUAGGCUGGUUUUCCAGGCAAAUCCGGAAAAUCAAGGCUGAGGCGUGAUGACGAGGCACUACGGUGCUGAAGCAACAAAUGCCCUGCUUCCAGGAAAAGCCUCUAAGCAUCAGGUAACAUCAAAUCGUACCCCAAACCGACACAGGUGGUCAGGUAGAGAAUACCAAGGCGCUUGAGAGAACUCGGGUGAAGGAACUAGGCAAAAUGGUGCCGUAACUUCGGGAGAAGGCACGCUGAUAUGUAGGUGAAGUCCCUCGCGGAUGGAGCUGAAAUCAGUCGAAGAUACCAGCUGGCUGCAACUGUUUAUUAAAAACACAGCACUGUGCAAACACGAAAGUGGACGUAUACGGUGUGACGCCUGCCCGGUGCCGGAAGGUUAAUUGAUGGGGUUAGCGGUAACGCGAAGCUCUUGAUCGAAGCCCCGGUAAACGGCGGCCGUAACUAUAACGGUCCUAAGGUAGCGAAAUUCCUUGUCGGGUAAGUUCCGACCUGCACGAAUGGCGUAAUGAUGGCCAGGCUGUCUCCACCCGAGACUCAGUGAAAUUGAACUCGCUGUGAAGAUGCAGUGUACCCGCGGCAAGACGGAAAGACCCCGUGAACCUUUACUAUAGCUUGACACUGAACAUUGAGCCUUGAUGUGUAGGAUAGGUGGGAGGCUUAGAAGUGUGGACGCCAGUCUGCAUGGAGCCGACCUUGAAAUACCACCCUUUAAUGUUUGAUGUUCUAACGUUGACCCGUGAUCCGGGUUGCGGACAGUGUCUGGUGGGUAGUUUGACUGGGGCGGUCUCCUCCUAAAGAGUAACGGAGGAGCACGAAGGUUGGCUAAUCCUGGUCGGACAUCAGGAGGUUAGUGCAAUGGCAUAAGCCAGCUUGACUGCGAGCGUGACGGCGCGAGCAGGUGCGAAAGCAGGUCAUAGUGAUCCGGUGGUUCUGAAUGGAAGGGCCAUCGCUCAACGGAUAAAAGGUACUCCGGGGAUAACAGGCUGAUACCGCCCAAGAGUUCAUAUCGACGGCGGUGUUUGGCACCUCGAUGUCGGCUCAUCACAUCCUGGGGCUGAAGUAGGUCCCAAGGGUAUGGCUGUUCGCCAUUUAAAGUGGUACGCGAGCUGGGUUUAGAACGUCGUGAGACAGUUCGGUCCCUAUCUGCCGUGGGCGCUGGAGAACUGAGGGGGGCUGCUCCUAGUACGAGAGGACCGGAGUGGACGCAUCACUGGUGUUCGGGUUGUCAUGCCAAUGGCACUGCCCGGUAGCUAAAUGCGGAAGAGAUAAGUGCUGAAAGCAUCUAAGCACGAAACUUGCCCCGAGAUGAGUUCUCCCUGACCCUUUAAGGGUCCUGAAGGAACGUUGAAGACGACGACGUUGAUAGGCCGGGUGUGUAAGCGCAGCGAUGCGUUGAGCUAACCGGUACUAAUGAACCGUGAGGCUUAACCUUACAACGCCGAAGCUGUU
RNAcentral lists this ribosomal RNA (2930 nucleotides) under Escherichia coli. RNAcentral describes it as "bacterial LSU rRNA". It matches the Rfam family "Bacterial large subunit ribosomal RNA". The record is from RNAcentral. Lineage: Bacteria; Pseudomonadati; Pseudomonadota; Gammaproteobacteria; Enterobacterales; Enterobacteriaceae.